CGGUUCUUUAAGUCUGAUGUGAAAGCCUAUGGCUCAACCGGGAAGGGUCAUUGGAAACUGGAGAACUUGAGUGCAGAAGAGGAGAGUGGAAUUCCACGUGUAGCGGUGAAAUGCGUAGAUAUGUGGAGGAACACCAGUGGCGAAGGCGACUCUCUGGUCUGUAACUGACGCUGAGGCUCGCAAGCGUGGGGAGCAAACAGGAUUAGAUACCCUGGUAGUCCACGCCGUAAACGAUGAGUGCUAAGUGUUGGAGGGUUUCCGCCCUUCAGUGCUGCAGCUAACGCAUUAAGCACUCCGCCUGGGGAGUACGGCCGCAAGGCUGAAACUCAAAGGAAUUGACGGGGACCUGCACAAGCGGUGGAGCAUGUGGUUUAAUUCGAAGUAACGCGAAGAACCUUACCAGGUCUUGACAUCCUUUGACCACUCUAGAGAUAGAGCUUUCCCUUCGGGGUCAAAGUGACAGGUGCACCAUGGUUGUCGUCAGCUCGUGUCGUGAGAUGUUGGGUUAAGUCCCGCAACGAGCGCAACCCUUAUUACUAGUUGCCAGCAUUUAGUUGGGCACUCUAGUGAGACUGCCGGUGACAAACCGGAGGAAGGUGGGGAUGACGUCAAAUCAUCAUGCCCCUUAUGACCUGGGCUACACACGUGCUACAAUGGAUGGUACAACGAGUCGCAAGGUCGCGAGGCCAAGCUAAUCUCUUAAAGCCAUUCUCAGUUCGGAUUGUAGGCUGCAACUCGCCUACAUGAAGCCGGAAUCGCUAGUAAUCGCGGAUCAGAACGCCGCGGUGAAUACGUUCCCGGGUCUUGUACACACCGCACGUCACACCACGAGAGUUUGU
This 839-nucleotide ribosomal RNA is filed under the name Carnobacterium maltaromaticum. Its description in RNAcentral is "bacterial SSU rRNA". It matches the Rfam family "Bacterial small subunit ribosomal RNA", at positions 576 to 1415 of the family's 1533-position model. Lineage: Bacteria; Bacillati; Bacillota; Bacilli; Lactobacillales; Carnobacteriaceae. The record is from RNAcentral.